This 240-nucleotide unclassified non-coding RNA is filed under the name soil metagenome. RNAcentral describes it as "partial contains 5.8S ribosomal RNA, internal transcribed spacer 2, and large subunit ribosomal RNA". The record is from RNAcentral.
AACGAGGCCGACCUGCGGCUGAGUUACCUGCGGAGGGAUCAUUACACAAUACAAUAUGAAGGCUGUCCGCAGCUGGAGUAUUUUAUUACCCUUGUCUUUUGCGCACUUGUUGUUUCCUGGGCGGGUUCGCUCGCCACCAGGACCACCAAAUAAACCUUUUUUAUGCAGUUGCAAUCAGCGUCAGUACAAACAAUGUAAAUCAUUUACAACUUUUAACAACGGAUCUCAGAUCGGAAGAGC